RNAcentral lists this non-coding RNA (45 nucleotides) under Schistosoma margrebowiei. The record is from RNAcentral. Lineage: Eukaryota; Metazoa; Platyhelminthes; Trematoda; Strigeidida; Schistosomatidae.
AUCCAAUUGAUGAGUCCCGAAUAGGACGAAAUGCACGUCUUGGAU